UCCAGACUCCUACGGGAGGCAGCAGUGGGGGAUAUUGGACAAUGAGGGAAACCCUGAUCCAGCGACGCCGCGUGAGUGAAGAAGUAUUUCGGUAUGUAAAGCUCUGUCAGCAGGGAAGAAAGAAAUGACGGUACCUGACCAAGAAGCCCCGGCUAACUACGUGCCAGCAGCCGCGGUAAUACGUAGGGGGCAAGCGUUAUCCGGAAUUACUGGGUGUAAAGGGAGCGUAGACGGUGACGCAAGUCUGGAGUGAAAGGCGGGGGCCCAACCCCCGGACUGCUCUGGAAACUGUGCGGCUGGAGUGCGGGAGGGGCAGGCGGAAUUCCUGGUGUAGCGGUGAAAUGCGUAGAUAUCAGGAGGAACACCGGCGGCGAAGGCGGCCUGCUGGACCGCGACUGACGUUGAGGCUCGAAAGCGUGGGGAGCGAACAGGAUUAGAUACCCCUGUA
This 448-nucleotide ribosomal RNA is filed under the name uncultured bacterium. Its description in RNAcentral is "bacterial SSU rRNA". It matches the Rfam family "Bacterial small subunit ribosomal RNA", at positions 330 to 792 of the family's 1533-position model. The record is from RNAcentral.